UGUUCAUAAUUCUCUGUAUUUGCUGCUUUGUUGCCUGUAGGUCGAAGACCCCCACCCAGGGGCAUCCAUGGCUUCCCUUGCCCUUAUAUGGAAACUCCCAGACCAUGACGAAGAUGUCCACGACUUCUCAAAAGAGUGGAACAGCGAGCUGCAUCUCAUUAGCUUCCACCAAUCUUGGCCGGCUCUUCAUGUUCCAAGAAAUCAUGGAUGCAACAAACAAAUUCGAUGAGAGCCUGCUUCUUGGAGUUGGUGGUUUUGGUAGGGUCUACAAAGGAACACUUGAAGAUGGGACUAAAGUAGCUGUCAAAAGAGGAAACCCCAGAUCUGAACAAGGUCUUGCUGAAUUCCGAACUGAAAUUGAAAUGCUAUCCAAGCUCCGUCACCGCCACCUUGUCUCUCUUAUAGGCUAUUGUGAUGAACGAUCAGAGAUGAUUCUGGUUUAUGAGUACAUGGCUAAUGGUCCCCUAAGGAGCCAUCUUUAUGGAACAGAUCUACCGUCUCUCUCCUGGAAGCAACGACUUGAAAUUUGCAUUGGAGCUGCAAGGGGGCUUCAUUAUCUUCACACAGGUGCAGCUCAGAGCAUAAUUCACCGUGAUGUGAAGACAACAAACAUUCUCUUGGAUGAGAAUUUUGUAGCAAAAGUUGCUGAUUUUGGCCUCUCAAAGACUGGUCCUGCCCUGGAUCAGACCCAUGUAAGCACUGCUGUUAAGGGUAGUUUUGGGUACCUUGAUCCUGAAUACUUUAGAAGGCAGCAGCUCACAGAAAAAUCUGAUGUGUAUUCAUUUGGUGUGGUCCUAAUGGAAGUCCUCUGCACCAGACCAGCUUUAAACCCUGUUCUACCAAGGGAGCAGGUUAAUAUAGCAGAAUGGGCAAUGAGCUGGCAAAAGAAGGGUAUGCUGGAUCAAAUCAUGGAUCCAAAUCUGGUUGGGAAGGUGAAUCCAGCUUCUCUUAAGAAGUUCGGAGAGACAGCUGAGAAGUGCUUGGCUGAG
This 989-nucleotide long non-coding RNA is filed under the name Vitis vinifera (wine grape). Its description in RNAcentral is "long non-coding RNA (VVIN_LNC006418)". Lineage: Eukaryota; Viridiplantae; Streptophyta; Magnoliopsida; Vitales; Vitaceae. The record is from RNAcentral.